CUAAAUUCUGUAAUAAUUCAUUCUUUGAUUGAUAAACUGUGGAAUUUAUCUCUCCCGUCAGCAGCUGCAGAAAAAUGAAGCUUUGACAGUCUGACUGAUCAAAUUACACACAUUUAUGGCUUAAUACCUUUUCUACAUGAUGCAGGCCCUUGGUUUCAAUACACAUUGCCUUAUCACACUAAUAAAAGGUGAGAUUCCAAUAAGUAUGACGACGCCACCAGAAGAAUUUUAAAAGUAUUGUGCAAUGCAAAGUAUGCUUAGAGACACCUCUCAAGAACCAGUUCUUUAAUUAUAAGUGGAAUGACUGACUGGCAACCAUGGGAAGAGUCAAAUUGACUAGAAGUUUCCCUUUGCAUGAGUCAUUUUGCUAAAGAGAGCAGAAAGCU
This is a long non-coding RNA of Hemicordylus capensis (graceful crag lizard), 386 nucleotides long. RefSeq lists it as uncharacterized. NCBI's taxonomy places the organism in Eukaryota, Metazoa, Chordata, Lepidosauria, Squamata, Cordylidae. The record is from RefSeq and is a predicted model, not a curated record. The transcript has 3 exons.